RNAcentral lists this long non-coding RNA (629 nucleotides) under Arachis ipaensis. Its description in RNAcentral is "long non-coding RNA (AIPA_LNC000530)". Lineage: Eukaryota; Viridiplantae; Streptophyta; Magnoliopsida; Fabales; Fabaceae. The record is from RNAcentral.
AAACAAUAAAAUCCUCUAAUAAAGUUUAUUGUCUACUACCAAAGUAGCCAUCACAUUCAAUAAUAAAACCCACCUUGCCAACUAUGGAAAUGAAGAAAAUCUCUCUUGUCCUCGUUGUGGUCGCCGCCUUGAUUGCGGUGGCUAUGGCCCAAGCUGCCCAGCACACGGCCACAGCCGCCGCAGCCGGGGCCCAGGCGACACCAACAGAGACUGUGACCACGGCACAUCCGGCGACUACAGCAACUCCGGCUGUGACCGUGACCACAACCCAUCAAGCCCCGGCUCCUGCCCCCAACGGCGUGAAUGCAUUCAAUCCCACGGUUGGUUCCAUAGUUGGAGCUUCCCUCUUAACCUUCCUGGCCUUCUAUUUGCAGUGAAUUUGAGGAAGAUUAGAGAAGCGAAGCUACCUAGGUGGAGAUCCUAGUUAAUUAUUUAUAAUCAUAAUAAUAAGUGAUUUGUUUUCCUUUCAUUGUUUUUCCUAGCUAACUAUGCAAAACAUUGUGUAGCUAAAAUGUUUAUUGCUAUUCUCCUCUUCAUGUAAAUUGUGUCGAAGGAGUAAUGUAAGUUAUGCUAUCAUCUAUAUCAUUAAGUUCGAUAAUCUUGAUUCGCAUUUUUAUUUUAUUUUAUGG